RNAcentral lists this ribosomal RNA (488 nucleotides) under uncultured bacterium. Its description in RNAcentral is "partial 16S ribosomal RNA". It matches the Rfam family "Bacterial small subunit ribosomal RNA", at positions 30 to 507 of the family's 1533-position model. The record is from RNAcentral.
AUUGAACGCUGGCGGCAUGCUUUACACAUGCAAGUCGAACGGCAGCACAGGGAGCUUGCUCCUGGGUGGCGAGUGGCGAACGGGUGAGUAAUGUAUCGGAACGUGCCUGGUAGUGGGGGAUAACUCCUCGAAAGAGUGGCUAAUACCGCAUGAGAUCUCUGGAUGAAAGCGGGGGACCUUCGGGCCUCGUGCUACUGGAGCGGCCGAUGUCAGAUUAGGUUGUUGGUGGGGUAAAGGCCUACCAAGCCUGCGAUCUGUAGCUGGUCUGAGAGGACGACCAGCCACACUGGGACUGGGACACGGCCCAGACUCCUACGGGAGGCAGCAGUGGGGAAUUUUGGACAAUGGGCGCAAGCCUGAUCCAGCAAUGCCGCGUGCAGGACGAAGGCCUUCGGUUUGUAAUCUGCUUUUGUACAGAACGAAAAGUCUCUGGCUAAUAUCUAGAGAGCAUGACGGUACUGUAAGAAUAAGCACCGGCUAACUACGUG